CUGAAUUGCCCCUAACAUGCUCAAAAUUGAAAGCCGCUCCUGGAAAGAAUGGUUCAGCUUCUGACUAAUUGUUAGAUAGGAAUAAGGGUUAUGAUGGAUUCUGGUCGUGGAUUUCUAACUUCCCCUACUUAAAACUACGACAUAUUGGCAUUAUUCUUCUGUUAAUAAUCGGUUGUCGUAGAUCAUGCGAACUUGGAGAGGAGUGGCAAAGUUUGAUGAGCUGGGCGUUCCAUCUGUUUGACCUUGUGCACAAUCGACUG
This 260-nucleotide long non-coding RNA is filed under the name Physcomitrium patens. Its description in RNAcentral is "long non-coding RNA (PPAT_LNC014424)". The record is from RNAcentral. Lineage: Eukaryota; Viridiplantae; Streptophyta; Bryopsida; Funariales; Funariaceae.